This 633-nucleotide ribosomal RNA is filed under the name uncultured Neisseria sp. Its description in RNAcentral is "bacterial SSU rRNA". It matches the Rfam family "Bacterial small subunit ribosomal RNA", at positions 870 to 1504 of the family's 1533-position model. Lineage: Bacteria; Pseudomonadati; Pseudomonadota; Betaproteobacteria; Neisseriales; Neisseriaceae. The record is from RNAcentral.
CGCCUGGGGAGUGCGGUCGCAAGAUUAAAACUCAAAGGAAUUGACGGGGACCCGCACAAGCGGUGGAUGAUGUGGAUUAAUUCGAUGCAACGCGAAGAACCUUACCUGGUCUUGACAUGUACGGAACCCUCCAGAGACGGAGGGGUGCCUUCGGGAGCCGUAACACAGGUGCUGCAUGGCUGUCGUCAGCUCGUGUCGUGAGAUGUUGGGUUAAGUCCCGCAACGAGCGCAACCCUUGUCAUUAGUUGCCAUCAUUAAGUUGGGCACUCUAAUGAGACUGCCGGUGGCAAGCCGGAGGAAGGUGGGGAUGACGUCAAGUCCUCAUGGCCCUUAUGACCAGGGCUUCACACGUCAUACAAUGGUCGGUACAGAGGGUAGCCAAGCCGCGAGGUGGAGCCAAUCUCACAAAACCGAUCGUAGUCCGGAUUGCACUCAGCAACUCGAGUGCAUGAAGUCGGAAUCGCUAGUAAUCGCAGGUCAGCAUACUGCGGUGAAUACGUUCCCGGGUCUUGUACACACCGCCCGUCACACCAUGGGAGUGGGGGAUACCAGAAGUAGGUAGGGUAACCGCAAGGAGCCCGCUUACCACGGUAUGCUUCAUGACUGGGGUGAAGUCGUAACAAGGUAACCGUA